AGAGUUUGAUGGUGGCUCAGGAUGAACGCUGGCGGCGUGCCUAACACAUGCAAGUCGAGCGAGAAGCUUUUAACGGACGCUUCGGUUGAAGUUAAGAGUGGAAAGCGGCGGACGGGUGAGUAACGCGUAGGCAACCUGCCCCUUGCAGAGGGAUAGCCUCGGGAAACCGGGAUUAAAACCACAUAAAUCCUUUUUAUCGCAUGAUAGAGAGGACAAAGAUUUAUCGGCAAGGGAUGGGCCUGCGUCUGAUUAGUUAGUUGGUGGGGUAACGGCCUACCAAGGCGACGAUCAGUAGCCGACCUGAGAGGGUGAACGGCCACAUUGGAACUGAGACACGGUCCAAACUCCUACGGGAGGCAGCAGUGGGGAAUCUUGCACAAUGGGCGAAAGCCUGAUGCAGCAACGCCGCGUGAGCGAAGAAGGCCUUUGGGUCGUAAAGCUCUGUCGGUAGGGAAGAAGGAAGUGACGGUACCUACCGAGGAAGCCCCGGCUAACUACGUGCCAGCAGCCGCGGUAAUACGUAGGGGGCGAGCGUUAUCCGGAAUUAUUGGGCGUAAAGAGUACGUAGGCGGUUUUUUAAGCGAGGGGUAUAAGGCAGCGGCUUAACUGCUGUUGGCCCCUCGAACUGGAGGACUUGAGUGUCGGAGAGGAAAGCGGAAUUCCUAGUGUAGCGGUGAAAUGCGUAGAGAUUAGGAGGAACACCAGUGGCGAAGGCGGCUUUCUGGACGACAACUGACGCUGAGGUACGAAAGCGUGGGGAGCAAACAGGAUUAGAUACCCUGGUAGUCCACGCCGUAAACGAUGAGCACUAGGUGUCGGGUUCGCAAGAAUUCGGUGCCGGAGUAACGCAAUAAGUG
This 857-nucleotide ribosomal RNA is filed under the name uncultured bacterium. RNAcentral describes it as "bacterial SSU rRNA". It matches the Rfam family "Bacterial small subunit ribosomal RNA", at positions 8 to 866 of the family's 1533-position model. The record is from RNAcentral.